RNAcentral lists this long non-coding RNA (1384 nucleotides) under Equus asinus (donkey). RNAcentral describes it as "lncRNA (ENSEASG00005034398.1)". Lineage: Eukaryota; Metazoa; Chordata; Mammalia; Perissodactyla; Equidae. The record is from RNAcentral.
UUACUGGAGUGGUCUCAUUUAGCCCUACAGCUUAAACCCCCAUCCGUACUCCCAAUAUCAUAUCCUAAAUCCACCACUCAGCAUGGAUCUCUGUCCUGAUUUUCAAAUUUUUAUUCCCAACUGCCUGUUAUCCAGAUGGCCCAAAUGAGCUUAAAAAAAAGCAGAAAAAGCAUUAUCAAUAUGCACCCACUUAGGCAUGUUCCUUUUCCUGCCUUCCACACCUUUUUUAGCAGCAGCACAAUUUAUAUGGUUGCUCAAACUAAUUUAUCUUCAGAAUCAUCUUAUCUCCGAUUCUUCAAUUUCCUUCACCCCUCACCAUCUGCUUGGUCCCCGUCAAAUUUCUCUCCUAAGAUGUCUCACACCUAUUUCUUCUUUAAGCCCACUGCCCCAGUCCCCUUAUCCUGUCUCAUCUAUUCUAUCACGACAGUCUCACUACAGUCUUCCUACCUAUAAGUUCUUCCCCUUCCAGACUACAAUCUUCCAGGCUAGGGUAAUCUUCCUGAAUUAUUAAUCUGAUCAUGGUACAAGCUCAUGUAUAAACCUCUCUUGACUCUCUGCAUCCGACAGGGUGGACGCCAAAUCCUUCACCCGGCCUUCACCGUCCAGCCCGGCUCUGACUGCUUUGCUGGUUUUAUCCCGUGUCAACCUACCUAUGGCUGCACCGAGAGACCUGAUCUUUAUCUUCUGAACUAUUAGGAUGUCCUUCCCGGCUCCUGCCAACUAGCUAAGUGAAUAAAGGGACUACAGGGAAAGGGUUAUUUUAGUCAUUUAAACUCGCAAAGAAUCGCUUCUUGGCCUCUUGGCUAAGAUCAAGUAUAAUCUCUUAAAGAAAAUCUGGUUAAGAACUAUUCCCGAAUAUCAAGUUAUGAUAUUAAAUUUACCUUUUUUGGUUGGUGUGCUGGUAUUGAUGAAAGAAAAAUAGGCUUAUCAGGUCCAUAAACACCCACUAUAAAUGGUCGUCGCUGAGGUUUCUCUCUUUAAUUUUUUCAGUCGCUUUUCCUCCAGGUAUUUCUGGAGCAUUUGUCUUCGUUGAUCACUUAGAAGAGACUUUGCUGAUCCUAAGCAGGGGGCAAAAUAGCAUAUAAAAGAUCACUUGCGCUGGGGAAGUCAGUGGCCAUGUGGUGCCUUAAGGAGACUCAAGCAGCCCUAUGGAGAUGCCACAUGACGAAGAACUAAGGCCUCCUGCCAAAAAGCCAGCAUCCACUUGCCAGUCAUGUGAGUGAGUCAUCUUGGAAACAGCUCCUCCAGCCUCAGUCAAGCUUCAGAGGCAUCCCUGGAUGACACCUUGACUGCAACCUGCAGGACCACCCGGCUGAGCAGCACCCAAAUUCCUGACCCCCAAAAAUUGUAUGAAAUAAUAAAUGCUUGUUGUUUUAAACCAUGA